UCCGCAUUCUUCAUACUGCGAAGUGAGAACACCCGGAUGUCCGUUACCCCUAAAGGCCCUAAUUAGUAGGAAAAAUCUAUUGGAGUCCGUAAUCCGGACUCUCCAAUAACGUCAAUUGUUGUUAUGGAUGUUUCUACUUUCUACUUCUGUUUAGAAGGCUGAGGGAUAGAGUUUCAGUGACAUGAAGAGUGUGAAGUGAAUAAUCUGCAAUGUGUAUGUUCAUGUACCAGAUCUGUACAUGAGUACAGAAAAAUAAUAGGAAACAAUUUUAUUUUUUAAAUCCAUACAGCCAAUAAUCAUGUUAUGAAAUACUAUUUUAUAUAGGCCACUAUUUUGCGAAACCUAGUAGAAAUACGAGAAUGGUCAAGUCUACACAUGUGCCUUCUCAUGAUUUGGCCAAGCUGAAGGCCUUAAAACCAAUGCUACAUUAGAUGAAUUUGUGAGUGAUUAAUUGUGAUGCCACUGACGUCAUUCUCACCCCAUUAUUGCAUCGUGUUUGCUGUUCUGUUUACCCUAUUCCCAGUUUUUAUAGUGGAAUAAAAAUGUGCCAGAUAAGGAUCUUUUCUGAAUCUGGCAAUUUUGGUGGUAUACCCUGCAAUAGCAUGUUUGUUGUUAUGGCAUGGCUGUUUUUACUUCUGUUUAGAAAGCAAACCAGCUAAGAUAUAGAGUUUCAGAGACAUGAAGAGUGUGAAGUGAAUAACCUGCCAUGUGUAUGUACAUGUACCAUAUCUGUACAUGAAAACAUAUGUAAUAGGAAAAUCUGCAAACACUAAGGUUAUGAAUUUAGUUCUUGUGGUCAAUGGAUGGCGCUUGUUGCCGCUACUGGUCUUUUACGACGUCUUGAAAUCAGUUUGGAAAAAUAGUUGGAAUAUGGGGAAUCCUCACUCAUUAUCGAAGUAACUUUGCAGUCAACAUGUGUGAGAAGUUUUAGAUUCGUUACAUUUUUUGCAUAUCUUCGUUGUGUUUUUUGCAUGCAAGUAAAUCUGCAGAUAGGUUGGCCAGUUUGUCCAGAUAGGAUGUCCUUCUCGCUUGAAGGUCGCGGGAAACAUUACGUGUAAAACUAUCAAUGCGGUGGUGUAGAGGUUGGGUGAGAAUAACACGUGUUUCGUCUUUAUCAAAGCAGGGUCAAUAGCCGCAAGGGUAAGCUAUUUGGUAUUCAUUUUGAUUUUUGUAGACCCAUCCCCAGCAACGUCAACCUAAAGAAGGAAAGGCGAGUUUGCAUUUCCUUCACUCUCGAAGGUCACGGAGAUCAUUACGUAAAACUGGCAUGCGGUGGUGUAGAGGUUGGGUCAGAAUGACACGUGUUUCGUCAUUAUCAAAGCAGACCCAUCCCCAGCAACGUCACCUGCAAAAGGAAAGGCCAG
This is a long non-coding RNA of Daphnia pulex (common water flea), 1364 nucleotides long. RefSeq lists it as uncharacterized. The transcript has 6 exons. NCBI's taxonomy places the organism in Eukaryota, Metazoa, Arthropoda, Branchiopoda, Diplostraca, Daphniidae. The record is from RefSeq and is a predicted model, not a curated record.